RNAcentral lists this ribosomal RNA (485 nucleotides) under uncultured bacterium. RNAcentral describes it as "partial 16S ribosomal RNA". It matches the Rfam family "Bacterial small subunit ribosomal RNA", at positions 30 to 507 of the family's 1533-position model. The record is from RNAcentral.
AUUGAACGCUGGCGGCAGGCUUAACACAUGCAAGUCGAGCGGGGAGAUGUAGCUUGCUACAUAUCCUAGCGGCGGACGGGUGAGUAAUGCUUAGGAAUCUGCCUAUUAGUGGGGGACAACAUUCCGAAAGGAAUGCUAAUACCGCAUACGCCCUACGGGGGAAAGCAGGGGAUCUUCGGACCUUGCGCUAAUAGAUGAGCCUAAGUCGGAUUAGCUAGUUGGUGGGGUAAAGGCCUACCAAGGCGACGAUCUGUAGCGGGUCUGAGAGGAUGAUCCGCCACACUGGGACUGAGACACGGCCCAGACUCCUACGGGAGGCAGCAGUGGGGAAUAUUGGACAAUGGGCGCAAGCCUGAUCCAGCCAAGCCGCGUGUGUGAAGAAGGCCUUUUGGUUGUAAAGCACUUUAAGCGAGGAGGAGGCUCCUUUAGUUAAUACCUAAAGAGAGUGGACGUUACUCGCAGAAUAAGCACCGGCUAACUCUGUG